CAGUGUGACGGGCAGACUGGCAUACACGCAGCUGCCCUGAGAGGUGACGUGUGUACUGCAACACAACCGAGUGCCAUGGCAGCAUAAAAGAGAAGGUGGGGUGACAUCUGGGCUGGGCCUGGAAGGAGAAGUUGAACUAUGGAAGUGCAGAGAUUGGUCUGCCUUGCUCACUAGAGUAUUCCAUGGCCUAGCCUGGUGUCUAAACAUGAUAUUAAUCUCAGAACCAUUGUUCAAGUCAAUUUUGGAGGCUCCAAUUCAAUAUUUGGAGGAAAAGUCAGUGGUUACAACACCUUGAAAUUUGGACCAAUUUUUAUCUCCCUUAUGCUUACUCUCCACCAACCUGAAGUGGAUACCCCUGCCAAGCAUAGAUACUGAGGGAAUAUAGUCACAGAUCACUGAUGGAUCUUUCAAUUCUACAAUACACUAUGGAUUUAUUUUAUAAAUUCUAAUUCUGUGGUGAACUUCUCCAAUGUGUCAUCUACUUUCUUGA
This is a long non-coding RNA of Tupaia belangeri chinensis (Chinese tree shrew), 490 nucleotides long. RefSeq lists it as uncharacterized. The record is from RefSeq and is a predicted model, not a curated record. Lineage: Eukaryota; Metazoa; Chordata; Mammalia; Scandentia; Tupaiidae. The transcript has 3 exons.